UGAGACACGGCCCAGAAUCCUACGGGAGGCAGCAGUGGGGAAUAUUGCACAAUGGGCGCAAGCCUGAUGCAGCAACGCCGCGUGAGGGAUGACGGCCUUCGGGUUGUAAACCUCUUUUAGUAGGGAAGAAGCGCAAGUGACGGUACCUGCAGAAAAAGCACCGGCUAACUACGUGCCAGCAGCCGCGGUAAUACGUAGGGUGCAAGCGUUGUCCGGAAUUAUUGGGCGUAAAGAGCUCGUAGGCGGUUUGUCGCGUCUGCUGUGAAAACUGGAGGCUCAACCUCCAGCCUGCAGUGGGUACGGGCAGACUAGAGUGCGGUAGGGGAGAUUGGAAUUCCUGGUGUAGCGGUGGAAUGCGCAGAUAUCAGGAGGAACACCGAUGGCGAAGGCAGAUCUCUGGGCCGUAACU
RNAcentral lists this ribosomal RNA (409 nucleotides) under uncultured soil bacterium C075. RNAcentral's name for it is "bacterial SSU rRNA". It matches the Rfam family "Bacterial small subunit ribosomal RNA", at positions 320 to 741 of the family's 1533-position model. The record is from RNAcentral.